RNAcentral lists this ribosomal RNA (450 nucleotides) under uncultured Glomeromycotina. RNAcentral describes it as "SSU rRNA". It matches the Rfam family "Eukaryotic small subunit ribosomal RNA", at positions 569 to 1026 of the family's 1831-position model. Lineage: Eukaryota; Fungi; Glomeromycota. The record is from RNAcentral.
AGCAGCCGCGGUAAUUCCAGCUCCAAUAGCGUAUAUUAAAGUUGUUGCAGUUAAAAAGCUCGUAGUUGAAUUUCGGGAUCAAUAUGUUGGUCGUGCCUCGGUACGUACUAGCUUAUUGGUUUCUCCUUUCUGAAGAACCAUGAUGUCAUUUAUUUGGUGUCGUGGGGAAUCAGGACUGUUACUUUGAAAAAAUUAGAGUGUUUAAAGCAGGCUCACGCUUGAAUACAUUAGCAUGGAAUAAUGAAAUAGGACGUUUGAUUCUAUUUUGUUGGUUUUUAGGAUCGACGUAAUGAUUAAUAGGGAUAGUUGGGGGCAUUAGUAUUCAAUUGUCAGAGGUGAAAUUCUUGGAUUUAUUGAAGACUAACUACUGCGAAAGCAUUUGCCAAGGAUGUUUUCAUUAAUCAAGAACGAAAGUUAGGGAUCGAAGACGAUCAGAUACCGUCGUAGUCU